Eriocheir sinensis (Chinese mitten crab) is the source of this 546-nucleotide long non-coding RNA. RefSeq lists it as uncharacterized. The record is from RefSeq and is a predicted model, not a curated record. NCBI's taxonomy places the organism in Eukaryota, Metazoa, Arthropoda, Malacostraca, Decapoda, Varunidae. The transcript is spliced from 3 exons.
UAUAUGUGCGUCAGUGUGUUAGCUGUCUAUGUGUUUGUAUGUGUUUAUGUUGCCAGUGGUAUAUGGCAGGGAUUAGGUGGCAAAGAGUGCAGAUGUGGAGUAGAGGACCUGGCAACAGUGCUCAGAAGGGAAAGACUCCGAUGGUUUGGACAUGUAAAGAGAGCAGGGGAGGACACAGUGCUGGGAGAGACUGGAGGUAGGAAACAGUGCUCAGAAGGGAAAGACUCCGAUGGUUUGGACAUGUAAAGAGAGCAGGGGAGGACACAGUGCUGGGAGAGACUGGAGGUAGGAAACAGUGCUCAGAAGGGAAAGACUCCGAUGGUUUGGACAUGUAAAGAGAGCAGGGGAGGACACAGUGCUGGGAGAGACUGGAGGUAGGAAACAGUGCUCAGAAGGGAAAGACUCCGAUGGUUUGGACAUGUAAAGAGAGCAGGGGAGGACACAGUGCUGGGAGAGACUGGAGGUAGGAAACAGUGCUCAGAAGGGAAAGACUCCGAUGGUUUGGACAUGUAAAGAGAGCAGGGGAGGACACAGUGCUGGGAGAGA